UCACCAAUCAAGCCUGGCUUGGUGUUGGGUGCCGUCCCGCCCUCUGCGGCAUGGACGCUCCCUAAAACUAUCGGCGGUGCAGCACCGGCUUCGAGCGUAGCAGACCUUCGCUUUCUGGAGCCCGGUGCGGCAGCGGCCGCGACGCAGCAACCUCAA
Molecule: unclassified non-coding RNA, 156 nt
Filed under: uncultured Rhytidhysteron
Lineage: Eukaryota; Fungi; Ascomycota; Dothideomycetes; Hysteriales; Hysteriaceae
Description: sequence contains ITS2
Source: RNAcentral